CCUACGGGAGGCAGCAGUGGGGAAUAUUGGGCAAUGGAGGCAACUCUGACCCAGCAACGCCGCGUGAGCGAUGAAGGUCUUCGGAUUGUAAAGCUCUUUAAGUGGGGACGAAGAAAGUGACUGUACCCACAGAAUAAGCCUCGGCUAACUACGUGCCAGCAGCCGCGGUAAUACGUAGGAGGCAAGCGUUAUCCGGAAUGACUGGGCGUAAAGGGUGCGUAGGUGGUUUGGCAAGUUGGUAGCGUAAUUCCGGGGCUCAACCUCGGAUCUACUACCAAAACUGUCGGGCUUGAGUGCAGGAGGGGUAAAUGGAAUUCCUAGUGUAGCGGUGGAAUGCGUAGAGAUUAGGAAGAACACCAGCGGCGAAGGCGAUUUACUGGACUGUAACUGACACUGAGGCACGAAAGCGUGGGGAGCAAACAGGAUUAGAUACCCGGGUAGUC
This 443-nucleotide ribosomal RNA is filed under the name uncultured bacterium. RNAcentral describes it as "partial 16S ribosomal RNA". It matches the Rfam family "Bacterial small subunit ribosomal RNA", at positions 338 to 795 of the family's 1533-position model. The record is from RNAcentral.